Molecule: long non-coding RNA, 321 nt
Filed under: Pan troglodytes (chimpanzee)
Lineage: Eukaryota; Metazoa; Chordata; Mammalia; Primates; Hominidae
Description: long non-coding RNA NONPTRT000426
Source: RNAcentral
AACCACCAGGUGGCCACAGAGUGCAUGUGCUAUGAGGGACCCGUCCGACAUAUACCCUCCCAGAAGAGCAGGAAAGGGGGUUCAUAAAGAUGUUCUUCUGAUGGGGAGUGUCCUAUAAGGCCACCUUCACAUGGACAAACUGGAAACACAGGUUAUAUCACCAAGGCUUUGACUGAAACAUCAUGUUUUCAGAUAUGACCAGAAGGCUUUAGGGGACUAAGGUUGGCUUUAUGGAACCAAUAAAGUACCAUCUUGGAAAAACUGGCUCUAGGGUUCCCAGACUUACAGGUAAGUAAAGAAUGUCACUGCUUGGUGGGUCUG